Molecule: ribosomal RNA, 406 nt
Filed under: uncultured bacterium
Lineage: Bacteria
Description: partial 16S ribosomal RNA
Rfam family: Bacterial small subunit ribosomal RNA
Source: RNAcentral
AUUGAACGCUGGCGGCAGGCCUAACACAUGCAAGUCGAACGAGUGGCGGACGGGUGAGUAAUGUAUGGGCAACUGCCUGAUGGAGGGGGAUAACUACGGGAAACGGUAGAUAAUACCGCAUACCAUCAGAUGUGCCCAGAUUGGAUUAGCUAGUUGGGGGGGUAAAGGCUCACCAAGGCGACGAUCCCUAGCUGGUCUGAGAGGAUGAACAGCCACACUGGAACUGAGACACGGUCCAGACUCCUACGGGAGGCAGCAGUGGGGAAUAUUGCACAAUGGGCGCAAGCCUGAUGCAGCCAUGCCGCGUGUAUGAAGAAGGCCUUCGGGUUGUAAAGUACUUUCAGCGGGGAGGCGUUACCCGCAGAAGAAGCACCGGCUAACUCCGUGCCAGCAGCCGCGGUAAUUC